UUUAAAUUGCUGUGGUAUUUUGACUAUACGAAGGUAUUGAAAUAAGGCUUUAAUUGGGUGCUAAGAGAAUGGUUNAACAGAGAUCAACUUUCUUUUCUUUUUUAAUAAAAAUUAAUAUAAAAAUGAAAAAGUUUUUAUAAAAUUUUGGGACAAGAAGACCCUAUGAAUUUUUUUUUAAGUCUGGUUUAAUUUAUAUAAUUUUGAGUGAUUGGUUAGGCUUGAAGUUGAUUGGGGCGAUUGUUUAAGAUUUAUUAUCUUAAGUACAAGGAGUAAUUAGAACCUAAAUUAUGGGGUGGUUGAAUUAAAUACUCUAGGGUUAACAGCGUUAUUAUUUUGGAUAGUUCUUAUAGAUGAAAUAGUUUGCGACCUCGAUGUUGGA
This 379-nucleotide ribosomal RNA is filed under the name Alectorobius xerophylus. Its description in RNAcentral is "Ornithodoros xerophylus partial 16S ribosomal RNA". The record is from RNAcentral. Lineage: Eukaryota; Metazoa; Arthropoda; Arachnida; Ixodida; Argasidae.